Molecule: ribosomal RNA, 465 nt
Filed under: uncultured bacterium
Lineage: Bacteria
Description: partial 16S ribosomal RNA
Rfam family: Bacterial small subunit ribosomal RNA
Source: RNAcentral
CCUACGGGGGGCAGCAGUGGGGAAUAUUGCGCAAUGGGCGAAAGCCUGACGCAGCGACGCCGCGUGAGGGAUGAAGGUCUUCGGAGCGGAAACCUCUGUCAGCAGGGAAGAACGGUCACUGUGCUAAUCAGCAGUGAAUUGACGGUACCUGCAAAGGAAGCACCGGCUAACUCCGUGCCAGCAGCCGCGGUAAUACGGAGGGUGCGAGCGUUAAUCGGAAUUACUGGGCGUAAGGCGAGCGUAGGCGGUAUGUCAAGUCAAGGGUGAAAUCCCCGCGCUCAACGUGGGAACUGCAUUUGAAACUGGCAAACUGGAGUGUGUGAGAGGAUAGUGGAAUUCCAGGUGUAGGAGUGAAAUCCGUAGAUAUCUGGAGGAACAUCAGUUGCGAAGGCGACUAUCUGGCACAUAACUGACGCUGAGGAGCGAAAGCGUGGGUAGCAAACAGGAUUAGAUACCCUGGUAGUC